GUGCCAGCAGCCGCGGUAAUACGUAAGGGGCAAGCGUUGUCCGGAAUUGUUGGGCGUAAAGCGCGCGCAGGCAGUCUUUUAAGUCUGAUGUGAAAGCCCACGGCUUAACCGUGGAGGGUCAUUGGAAACUGGAGGACUUGAGUGCAGAAGAGAGAGUGGAAUUCCACGUGUAGCGGUGAAAUGCGUAGAGAUGUGGAGGAACACCAGUGGCGAAGGGCGACUCUCUGGUCUGUAACUGACGCUGAGGCGCGAAAGCGUGGGGAGCGAACAGGAUUAGAUACCCUGGUAGUCC
This 292-nucleotide ribosomal RNA is filed under the name uncultured microorganism. RNAcentral's name for it is "partial 16S ribosomal RNA". It matches the Rfam family "Bacterial small subunit ribosomal RNA", at positions 505 to 796 of the family's 1533-position model. The record is from RNAcentral.